GUGCACCCCUGGUAUGCAUAUCGAUAUGCACAGAUAAAAACAUAUGUUUGAAGAACAUAUGAUGAAAAGGCAGAGUGCAAUUUAUUGCAAAAGUUGCAACUGAAAGAGAUGACAAUUUCUCCCAAGUGCAAGUGAACGUGUGUUCGACAGGCCGAAGAAGUGAGUGACGCAAAAUGGCUGCGAGGGAAUCAUCCGGUGGAACGAGAGGUAGCAGCUGAGAAGACUCCACAUCCCAAUCACCGAGCAGUGCCGCCAGUUUAGUUAAGUUGAUUGUGUAGUUUAAGCCAGUGCAUUGUAGUGUUGUUUUGCUGCAUGUGUGUAUGUGCAUACGUGCCAAAUAAAACUUUAAUUGAAUAUAAAAUUCAAUUUGAGUUUUAUUUGUUAGGAUACCCUUUGCAGAUAGGAUAUGUGAGGACGACCAGUUUCCAGCGUAUAUGCUUGCAAUCAGUUGCUGGGGAAGGACCAGCCUGCAUCGGCCGAAGAAUCUCCUGGAUUUGUGUUGUGUGUGCGCGAAGUGCUCGCUGUGGGUGGCAGUGGCGCCAGUUGCCGAAAGAUUGGCAGGCGCGACUGCGAGGCAGUAGCGUCACCUAUAUUUUGUAU
Drosophila mojavensis is the source of this 600-nucleotide long non-coding RNA. RefSeq lists it as uncharacterized. NCBI's taxonomy places the organism in Eukaryota, Metazoa, Arthropoda, Insecta, Diptera, Drosophilidae. The record is from RefSeq and is a predicted model, not a curated record. The transcript has 4 exons.